AGUGAACGCUGGCGGCAGGCCUAACACAUGCAAGUCGAGCGGCAGCGGGUCCUUCGGGAUGCCGGCGAGCGGCGGACGGGUGAGGAAUACAUCGGAAUCUGCCCUGUCGUGGGGGAUAACCUAGGGAAACUUAGGCUAAUACCGCAUACGACCUACGGGUGAAAGCGGGGGAUCGCAAGACCUCGCGCGACAGGAUGAGCCGAUGUCCGAUUAGCGAGUUUGCGGGGUAAAGGCCCACCAAGGCGACGAUCGGUAGCUGAUCUGAGAGGAUGAUCAGCCACACUGGGACUGAGACACGGAAAAGAGUCCUACGGGAGGCAGCAGUGGGGAAUAGUGGACAAGGGGCGAAAGCAUGAUACAGCAAUGCCGCGUGGGGGAAGAAGGCAUUCGGGUUGUAAAGCCCUUUUGUCCGGGAAGAAAUCGUCUGGGCUAAUACCCCGGGCGGAUGACGGUACCGGAAGAAUAAGCACCGGCUAACUUCGUG
Molecule: ribosomal RNA, 484 nt
Filed under: uncultured bacterium
Lineage: Bacteria
Description: partial 16S ribosomal RNA
Rfam family: Bacterial small subunit ribosomal RNA
Source: RNAcentral